GGAUUCAUGCAGCCAUUCCCAAUUUGUAGCUAAGACACUGAUUGCAUUGAGAAAUGAGAUUGCUAAGAAAUGAAAUAGGAUUGGAGAAGGGUUUAAUGAGGUUAUGCAGUCAACAUUUGAACCAUAUGCCUACAUGAGUCUAGUUCACAUUGUCUGCCAGUUUUUUCAUUAUGUGGAAUUUUAUACAGAAUCUAUGAUAUAAGAUUUAGUGGCAUUUAAUAGUAACAGUACUGAGAAAUUAUCAUAAAACUAAAAACAUACAACUUUUAAUUGACCUUUUUUCUAUCGUCCUGAGUAGUACAAUCCUCAUUUGACAAAAAUACUCAAUUCUAUUUAGUGAAUAGUUGUUGAUUCCUUGGAGUUGCGGACCAGGUCAUUUUAUUCUUGCAAGUCGUUACAGAACACAACUUUUCUAAUGUGUUUGGUCGGACAGCUAAAUUUUGUGGCAAAUAUGACCCUACUGCUCUGCUUUGACAAAUUUCUACCUCGGGUGAUAAUUGCUUAGUCAAUUCCUAUGUCUCCUAGCGUCAAUAUCCAUAUGGCAGAACACCUCUGAUGCAUCUGGAAUUUUGCAGGGAAAAGAGGAGGCGAGCGGAUCUCCCUAGAUUGGGAUAC
This 615-nucleotide unclassified non-coding RNA is filed under the name Hevea brasiliensis (rubber tree). Lineage: Eukaryota; Viridiplantae; Streptophyta; Magnoliopsida; Malpighiales; Euphorbiaceae. The record is from RNAcentral.